This 577-nucleotide ribosomal RNA is filed under the name uncultured bacterium. RNAcentral describes it as "bacterial SSU rRNA". It matches the Rfam family "Bacterial small subunit ribosomal RNA", at positions 338 to 917 of the family's 1533-position model. The record is from RNAcentral.
CCUACGGGAGGCAGCAGUGGGGAAUAUUGCGCAAUGGACGAAAGUCUGACGCAGCGACGCCGCGUGUGGGAUGACGGUCUUCGGAUUGUAAACCACUGUCGGGAGGGACGAAUACGCCGCAAGGCGGGUGACGGUACCUCCAAAGGAAGCACCGGCUAACUCCGUGCCGGCAGCCGCGGUAAUACGGAGGGUGCGAGCGUUGUCCGGAAUCACUGGGCGUAAAGGGCGCGUAGGCGGCCUGAUAAGUAGGGGGUGAAAUCUUGCGGCUUAACCGCAAGGCUGCCUUCUAAACUGUCAGGCUUGAGCACAGUAGAGGCAGGUGGAAUUCCCGGUGUAGCGGUGGAAUGCGUAGAGAUCGGGAAGAACAUCAGUGGCGAAGGCGGCCUGCUGGGCUGUUGCUGACGCUGAGGCGCGACAGCGUGGGGAGCAAACAGGAUUAGAUACCCUGGUAGUCCACGCCGUAAACGAUGGGCACUAGGCGUCGGGGGGAGCGACCCUCCCGGUGCCGUCGCUAACGCAGUAAGUGCCCCGCCUGGGGAAUACGGCCGCAAGGCUGAAACUCAAAGGAAUUGACGGA